This 301-nucleotide ribosomal RNA is filed under the name uncultured bacterium. Its description in RNAcentral is "partial 16S ribosomal RNA". It matches the Rfam family "Bacterial small subunit ribosomal RNA", at positions 509 to 807 of the family's 1533-position model. The record is from RNAcentral.
CAGCAGCCACGGGAAUACAGAGGGUGCGAGCGUUAAUCGGAUUUACUGGGCGUAAAGCGUGCGUAGGCGGCUUCUUAAGUCGGAUGUGAAAUCCCUGAGCUUAACUUAGGAAUUGCAUUCGAUACUGGGAAGCUAGAGUAUGGGAGAGGAUGGUAGAAUUCCAGGUGUAGCGGUGAAAUGCGUAGAGAUCUGGAGGAAUACCGAUGGCGAAGGCAGCCAUCUGGCCUAAUACUGACGCUGAGGUACGAAAGCAUGGGGAGCAAAUAGGAUUAGAUACCCCCGUAGUCCCUGUCUCUUAUAC